GACGAACGCUGGCGGCGUGCUUAACACAUGCAAGUCGAACGGAAAGGCCCUGCUUUUGUGGGGUGCUCGAGUGGCGAACGGGUGAGUAACACGUGAGUAACCUGCCCUUGACUUUGGGAUAACUUCAGGAAACUGGGGCUAAUACCGGAUAGGAGCUCCUGCUGCAUGGUGGGGGUUGGAAAGUUUCGGCGGUUGGGGAUGGACUCGCGGCUUAUCAGCUUGUUGGUGGGGUAGUGGCUUACCAAGGCUUUGACGGGUAGCCGGCCUGAGAGGGUGACCGGCCACAUUGGGACUGAGAUACGGCCCAGACUCCUACGGGAGGCAGCAGUGGGGAAUAUUGCACAAUGGGCGGAAGCCUGAUGCAGCAACGCCGCGUGCGGGAUGACGGCCUUCAGGUUGUAAACCGCUUUCGCCUGUGACGAAGCGUGAGUGACAGUAAUAGGUAAAGAAGCACCGGCUAACUACGCG
Molecule: ribosomal RNA, 468 nt
Filed under: uncultured bacterium
Lineage: Bacteria
Description: partial 16S ribosomal RNA
Rfam family: Bacterial small subunit ribosomal RNA
Source: RNAcentral